UGGUGUCACAAACAAUAUUAUCCUUAUUUUGUGAUUUUUUCUUUUCUAUUAUAAAAGGUUAUAAAAUAAUGAAAAUUUGUUAAGAAAAAAAUGACUUGCAUGUAAUUAUUAAUUUUGUAUGUGUGUUACAAUAGAGGUGCUAAAGGGGCAAAUUAAGGCGUUGGUGUUCUUAAGAGAUAUGCAAUAAUUAUAUCAAUUUUAGGAAGUCUUUUAAGUUUUAACAAUUUGAAAAGUGUUAAAAAUUAUUUAAUUGAUGUAAGGAGAUUAUGAGCUUUAUAAAUCAAACGUGAUAAACUUUCAUGCAUAGGGUCAAAAAUAUGGAUAAUUUUUUUAAGUUUGUUUAUAUUAUGAUUUUUCUUUUUUCCGAAUUUCUUGUUUCAGCAUACUAUGUUCAUCCUUUCAAACCUUGUGUUUGCGAUCGUGAUUGUCCAACAUGCCCUUAUCGUGCAAUAAAGAGGUGUCGUAAAGGCGUUUGUAUGUGUCAGUAAGGAUAUGAGAAUACACAAAUGUAUUGCUAUUAUAAAUGCGUUAGUUACUGUGAUCAUCCAUUAAUUAAAUUUUCUUUUAGUUUUUUUAAUUUCAUGGACCUUGUUAGAUUUGGUAAUUUAAGAUGAUGCAUCAGGAAUGUAAAGAACCUAUUUCUUUAUUCGUUUUAAGAAAGAAAGAAAAGAUCUACCAGAAAAAUAAUAAUUGAAAGUCGGUUAACACAAUUCAAUUCUCCCCUCCCUCAUUUG
Trifolium pratense (red clover) is the source of this 734-nucleotide long non-coding RNA. RefSeq lists it as uncharacterized. The transcript has 3 exons. The record is from RefSeq and is a predicted model, not a curated record. NCBI's taxonomy places the organism in Eukaryota, Viridiplantae, Streptophyta, Magnoliopsida, Fabales, Fabaceae.